UUCCCUUCUCUCCUUCUUUCCUCUCUUCUCACUCUCUCUUUCGGUCUCCCUCUCCGCCAGCACCGCCGCCGGCUGGAAACUGCCGCUGCUGUCGUCGGGCUGCCGCCGCCGCUGCGCCGGCCGCCGUCGCCGUCGUCGCUCGGGAGAAAUUAAGAGGGGUUGAAAAGGAGCCAAGAAGUGUCGUUGUUUGCCGGAUUUCGCCACCACCGCCGGAUGCUGUCGCCGCCGCCGACCCGGCGCUGCCUCUGUUGCUGACAGAGGGCAGAAACUCCAGCCAGGUCCAAACCAUUGAAGGGGAAACAGAUAAACAAAUUUCUGUUAGGAGAAAGCAUAGAGACAGCGUUGAGCCACUUUUUUUAUGCUAGCCUAUAUGCGCAAGGUCAAAUGAGCCCUUUAUGCUAACCAGGCCACUUUUCACAUUCACAACGAGUUUAUGAGUUUUCUAGAGAAUCGGUCCACCUAGAGCUCAAAUGCGUUUCCAAUUCCCCCCCCCCCCGGCUUCGUCAGGAAUAAGUGGUAGCGUUUACUCAUCUAGCCUUGUUAGCAUUGGAAUGGGUGCUAUGCCCUAAACACCGGAAAUUGGCUCUGACGAUAUAGAACCUGUUGGAUCCCAGAUUCCUUCUAGUUCCUUCAUCUCACAUUUCAAUUGGCGAUGGUCCACAAACUCUUGAAAACGACAUCAUUCCUUCAUUCUCUCUUGCUUUGGCUAGCUACUGAUGGAACCUUCCAGUUAUGCAAAAGAAACUGGAAAUGCUGCAUAUCCUACUAAUGCAACUCUGUCUUCCUAGCAUCUUGGGACUAAUGUCUGUGAGCCAUUUAUGUACCAUACUAUCUCAGAGAAGUAUACAAUGGAAUGGAGGGUAGCGUAUUACUGCUCCUAGCCAAUUUUGGCCACUUUGAUAUUAAGUGUCUCUCAGUUCAUACUAAAGCCGUCAAUGAAGAACUACUGCAAAAUCUGUCUGAUGCUCUACGCUUGACUGUACCUGAUAAAAUUGGAGUUGAUCUUGCUUUGUCUAAAACUGACGAUCACGAUAUCAGGAUGUGUGGAAAGAAUUUUUCUUUGAGUCAGAUUAAAGAGCUGUGUGCCUAUCUAUUGCAUUUGAGGCGACUGAGAUGAUUCAAAAUAUGCUCGUGUUACACUUAGUUGAUCUAACGGCUAAGCAUUCAGAUUCAUUCUUGCAAAUGUUAGCUCUUGUGCAACUAAGGUGCUUUCCGUGAUAGUUCCUCGUGCAAAAAUAGACUAGAAUUUCUUAGUCAAUCUGAAGGCCAAGGCCCAACUACGUGGAGAUCACUUCUUCAGUUUAAAACGCGCCGCGCAGGUGGAAGAGCAAGAUCUGGGGACGGCGGCCCGGUGGGGGCAAGUCGUAUGGCGGUAGGGGGAGACUUAGUUCUUAACUUAUAAGAAGCCGGGGGAAAUGGCUCUUUCCCAAGUACUUCCUAGAUAUGUUUCUUUUUUACUUUGGCAUUCGGUUUGCUGUACCUGCAUUAAAAAAGAAAUCAUGGGCCUUGGAAGCUGGAUGAGCACUCAAUUAGUGUCUAGUAAAGAUGCUUUGUAUGAGGAAUAGAUCAUGUUUCUGAAGGAUGUUCAGGACCUAUCUCCUAGUCACAUUCAAUCUUUGGGUUCACUUUUGAAUAUCUUUCUGGUUGUGUGUAAGGCUGCGUAGCAAGUAGAACUCAGUCCCGUGUUGAGAGCACUACUUCAGUGUUGAUAAGUUCUAGAGAUGUCCCCUGUUCUUCUUCAGUGAGGGACUAUUCCCGGAGUUGUCCAGGUUUUCGCUUCCUGUAUAGGGGUGUGAUCCUGGCACCACCCCUUACUUGCUUUCGACCCUAACAAGAAUCACUAACAGAGUUGACAUCGAUGAAUGGAAUCCAUCCACUGAUACACAUCUUCCUUGAUUGAUAACCGCUCUGCAAAUGUUGUGAUGCACUCAAAAUUUUAAAUAUCAUUUCCAGCUUUUUUGUUUGUCUACGACAGUUAGAUCAUCUAUCGAGGGACCGAAUUUGCUUUAGAUUGCAAACUUGAGUUUGCUCAUACUGCUCAUCGAAAUUCUGCUGCUGUUCAUUCCUGGUUGAGUGUAAGGCUGCGUAGCAAGUAGAAGUCAGUCCCGUGUUGAGAGCGCUACUUCAGUGUUGAUAAGUUCUAGAGUAUCCCCUGAGCUUCAACAGUGAGGUGUUAUAGCUGUAACCAUUACUCGUAGGAUUUUUAUGCUAGAGCACUUUGAGCACAAACUUUUGCAGGAACUAACCCGGAGUUGCCCUGGUUCUCACUUCCGGUAUAGGGGUGUGAUCCUGACACCACCCCUUAAUUGCUUUCUACUCAAACAAGUAAGUAUUCUAUCCUCUUUACAUUUUUUGUCCUUCACAUUGAGGGUAAUGUUUAGAAUAGUUUUGAGGUGUGGGUGUCUGCGUGCAUUCUUCUUUUUGGGGUUGUAAUUUAUCCUAUUUGUGUGUAUAUGUAAGGUUUUCUCUCUAUUAAUUGUCACCCGAAACACUUUUUAAUGGUUUAUUAGUGUAGACUUAGUUCUCUCAAGGGUUGGAGAACUAAGAUUCCCUAAUUUAAAACACCUUACUUACUUAUAUUUUAAUAUGUGAAAAUGAAUUUGUGCUGCUGAACAGGACAUGCUGCUGAACAAGACCAAGUACAUAUAUUUUCUAUGGUCGCUUGAAAUUUUCUCUGUGGUGAACGUGGAGUCUGUUGAUGUUUUUUUCCGUUGAAUGGGAUUUACUUUUUAAAUCAAUAAUACUAGCAAAUAACUGAUAUAAAAACAUUGGUAAAGGCUUGUGUUAAUUUAGUCCAUUGAGCAUGGGUUUGGAAUUCAUAUUGUUUGUAUUUUGUCCUUGUUGCCUUUUUUAACCUUGUUUACAUGCAGUCCAAACCAGUGAUGGGGAAUAGAUCAACAACUUUCUAUUAGGAGAUAGCAUAGAGACAGUGUUGUGCCACUUUUUUUAUGCUAGCAUUUAUGUGCAAGGUCAAGUGAGCCUUUUGUCCUAAGCUAGGCCACCUGUCACAUUCACAAAAUGAGUUUAUGAGGUGAUUCCGGACAAAUUCUAGGACAUCUAAGUUGAUUCAGGAAAGAAUCGAUCCAUCCAGAGCUCAAAUGCAUUUCCAGUUUGCCCCUCUGCUUCGUCAGUGGGUGGAUUUUCCUGGAAAUUUGCAUCUCUACUUCUGACCAAAUGAGUGUUAGCACUGGAAUUGGUGCUAUUCCCCACACACCUGAAAUUGGCUCUGACGAGAUGGAUCCUGUUGGAUCCCAGAUUCGUACAAGGAUAAUAUUUCCGAUGAUGACUAUAUAAUUUCAAAAGCUGGGCUCGGUCUAGAAGUGGGAAUGAUGUCAAUCCUACAUGGAGUUAAGGAGGAGCUAACUUCUAAAGGAGGCAAGAUGAGGGAAGAAAUACCUAACUUCCCAUGCAAACAAGAGAGUAUUUUGUUUCCCCUCACAUUUUUUUCCUUCACAUAAAGGGCAAUGUUAAGAUUAAGAUUUGGGGUGAGGGUGUUUGUGUACAUGCUUGAUUAUGUGGUUGUAAAUAAUUUUAUUACUCUAUCUCCGAUGUGUUGAUUCUGAAGGACCCUUUUUCUGAAGUGUAUAUAACGAUGCGAAUACUAAAGAAGUUAUGUGUUUUAAAUAGCAGGACUAUGCCAUGGAGCCCGAUGAGAAACUUAUGCGAAAUGCAGCACAUUAGAUGGUAGCAAGGUUGGCAGGAACUCUUGCUAAUGUAACUUGUUAGUAUCAAGCCAACUCAGAAGGUCACUUCAGGGCUUGGCCAUAGCAAAGGAUCUUCUGGAGCAAUCAUUUUAGCGGGUGACUAAUGGAAUCACAUGCAGCGAUGAUACCGAUGAAUGGAAUCCAUCCACUGAUACACAUCUUCCUCGAUCGAUAGCCGCUCUGGAAAUGUUGAGUGCAAGGCUGCGCUGCAAGCAGAACUCGGUCCGUUGUUAAGAGCGCUAUUUCAGUAUUGAUCAUGUUCCAGAGAUGUCCCCUGAUCUUCAACAAUGAGUUGUUAUAGUUGUAACCACUAAACGUUCUCGCUUCUGUUAUAGGGGUGUGAUCCUGGCGCCAUCCCUUACUUGCUUUCUUACUCAAACAAUCCAACCCAUUUAUGGGGAAAUAGAUCGAUUACUUUCUACUAGAAGAAAGCAUAGAGACAGUGUUGUGCCACUUUUUUUAAUGCUAGCCUUUAUGCUCGAGGUCAAACGGAAGCCCUUUAUCCAAAGCCAAGGCACAUGUCACAUUCACAACGAGUUUAUGAGAAUCGAUCCACCCAGAGCUCCUAAUGCAUUUCCAGUUCGCCCCUCGGCUUCAUCAGGAGCUGGAUUAUCCAGGCAAUUUGCAUCACCACUUCUGACCAAAUGAGUGCUAGCAUUUACUCAUCUGGCCUUGUUAGCACUUGAAUUGGUGCUAUGCCCCAUACACCGGAAAUCGGCUCUAACGAGAUAGAACCUGUUGGAUCCCAAAAACUAAAAGGAAUCAAAUUAGUAAAAUUCCGGUGAUCAUUUUUCAGUUCGCUCAUCUCAUAUUUCAAUUGGCGAUGGUCCACAAACUCUUGAGUUUGGGAGGGGCUAAUUUAUAAAGGAAUCAAGAUGAGAGAAGAAAUACCUAACCCCAUCACCUAACUUCCCAUGCAAACAAGGGAGUAUUUUGUUUACCAUGCAAAUAAUUAGAUUACUCUAUCUCGUUGAUUCUGAAGGACCCUUUUUUCCAUAGUAUAUAUAACAAUGCAAAUGCUAAAGAAGUUAUAUGUUUUUAAAUGGCAGGUCUAUGCCACGGAGCCUGUUGAGAAACUUAUACGAAAUGCAACACAUUUGUAGUAGCAAGGUUGAAAGGAAGUCAUGCUAAUGUAACUUGAAGGUUGAGUGUAAGGCUGCGUAACAAGCAGAACUCGGCCCCGUGAUGUGAGCUUUACUUCAGUGUUGAUCAAGUUCUUGAGAUGUCCCCUUUCAACAGUGAGGUACUUACCCUGGAGUUGCCCUGGUUCUCGGUUCCGGUAUAGGGGUGUGAUCCUAGCACCACUGCUUAUUUGCUUUCUACGCAAAAAAAUAAGUAUUCUAUCUCCCUUUACAUUUUCUUGCCCUUCACAUUGAGGGCAAUGUUUAGAAUAGUUUUGAGGUGUGGGUGUUUGCGUGCAUUCUUCUUUUUGUGGUUGUAAUUUAUCGUAUUUGUGUGUGUUUGCAUGGUUUUUUCUCCAUUGAUUGUCACCAGAAACACUUUUUUAUGGGUUAUUAGUGUAUACUUAAGGCUUGGAGAACUAAGAUUCCUUAAUUUAAAACACCUUAUUAAUAUUUUAGUAUGUGAAUGAAUUUGUGCUGCUGAACAAGGCUGAACAAGACCAAGUACAUUUCUUAUAUUUUCUAUGGUUUUUUGAUAUUUUCUAUGUGAUGAACAAGACCAUGUACAUUUUUUAUAGUUUCUAUGAUCUCUUGAUAUUUUAUAUGUGGUGAACAUCGAUAACUUGCUACCCCACAUAUUAAUUUGUAUUUAAGUUGGGUAUGCACUGUUAAGUAUUUGUUUACUUA
Long non-coding RNA from Salvia splendens (bonfire salvia), 5512 nucleotides. RefSeq lists it as uncharacterized. The record is from RefSeq and is a predicted model, not a curated record. The transcript has 26 exons. NCBI's taxonomy places the organism in Eukaryota, Viridiplantae, Streptophyta, Magnoliopsida, Lamiales, Lamiaceae.